AUUGAACGCUGGCGGCAGGCCUAACACAUGCAAGUCGAGCGGAUGAAGGGAGCUUGCUCCUGGAUUCAGCGGCGGACGGGUGAGUAAUGCCUAGGAAUCUGCCUGGUAGUGGUGGAUGACGUCCGGAAAAGGGCGCUAAUACCGCCUACGUCCUGAGGGAGAAAGAGGGGGAUCUUCGGACCUCACGCUCUCAGAUGGGCCUAGGUCGGAUUAGCUAGUUGGUGGGGUAAGGGCCUACCUAGUCGACUAUCCGUAACUGGUCUGAGUGAAUGAUCAGUCACACGGGAAGUGAGACACGGUCCAGACGCCUACGGGAGGCAGCAGUGGGGAAUAUUGGACAGUGGGCGAAAGCCUGGUCCAGCCAGGCCGCGUGUGAGAAGAAGGUCUUCGGAGUGUAAAGCACUUUAAGUUGUGAGGAAGGGCAGUAAGUUAAUACCUUGCUGUUUUGACGGUACCAGCAGAAGAAGCACCGGCUAACUUCGUG
RNAcentral lists this ribosomal RNA (484 nucleotides) under uncultured bacterium. RNAcentral's name for it is "partial 16S ribosomal RNA". It matches the Rfam family "Bacterial small subunit ribosomal RNA", at positions 30 to 507 of the family's 1533-position model. The record is from RNAcentral.